ACAUCCCAACAGCACCCAAGUAUCUUGUACUACUACUUUUUCAAAACUCAUCUGCCAUCACUUUUAUUACCAAAAUGGCUGAAGAGAAGAAGCACCACUUCGGUCUCUUCCACCACAAGGACAAGGAGGAAGACAAAACUACCUAUGGAGAAACUCCAUAUGGUGGUGAUACUGAAAAAACUACCUAUGGAGAGAAUACAUAUGAAGAGAAAACUAGUUAUGGUGGGGGAGAUAACUAUGGGGAUAACAAAUAUGGUGAGAAAACUGGCUAUGGAGAAAGUGGAUAUGGAGAGAAAACUAGUUAUGGUGAGGGAGGUAACUAUGGAGAUAGUGGCUAUGAAAAUAAGACUAGCUAUGGAGAUAGUGGCUAUGAAAAUAAGACUAGUUAUGGAGAUAGCGGCUAUGAAAACAAGACUGGCUAUGGAGAUAUUCCAUCUGAUACUACCUAUGGAGAGAAAACUAAUUAUGGUGAAGGAGAUACCUAUGGAAAAGGAGCUGCCUACUCAUCUGAGACCACUAAUUUUGAAGAGACUACUGAUGAAGGCAA
This 547-nucleotide long non-coding RNA is filed under the name Nicotiana tabacum (common tobacco). RNAcentral describes it as "long non-coding RNA (NTAB_LNC004242)". The record is from RNAcentral. Lineage: Eukaryota; Viridiplantae; Streptophyta; Magnoliopsida; Solanales; Solanaceae.